RNAcentral lists this ribosomal RNA (609 nucleotides) under uncultured bacterium. RNAcentral describes it as "bacterial SSU rRNA". It matches the Rfam family "Bacterial small subunit ribosomal RNA", at positions 238 to 847 of the family's 1533-position model. The record is from RNAcentral.
CCAUUAGCUUGUUGGCGGGGUAACGGCCCACCAAGGCAUCGAUGGAUAGGGGUUCUGAGAGGAAGGUCCCCCACAUUGGAACUGAGACACGGUCCAAACUCCUACGGGAGGCAGCAGUGAGGAAUAUUGGUCAAUGGGCGCUAGCCUGAACCAGCCAAGUAGCGUGAAGGAUGACUGCCCUAUGGGUUGUAAACUUCUUUUAUAUGGGAAUAAAGUGCAGUAUGUAUACUGCUUUGCAUGUACCUUAUGAAUAAGGAUCGGCUAACUCCGUGCCAGCAGCCGCGGUAAUACGGAGGAUCCGAGCGUUAUCCGGAUUUAUUGGGUUUAAAGGGAGCGUAGGCGGGUUGUUAAGUCAGUUGUGAAAGUUUGCGGCUCAACCGUAAAAUUGCAGUUGAUACUGGCAUCCUUGAGUACAGUAGAGGUAGGCGGAAUUCGUGGUGUAGCGGUGAAAUGCUUAGAUAUCACGAAGAACUCCGAUUGCGAAGGCAGCCUGCUGGACUGUAACUGACGCUGAUGCUCGAAAGUGUGGGUAUCAAACAGGAUUAGAUACCCUGGUAGUCCACACAGUAAACGAUGAAUACUCGCUGUUUGCGAUAUACAGUAAGCGGC